UCUAAAGUGGCAGAAUAGUGUAGUGAAUUUAAAAUUCAUAAAUGAGAUCCUUAAUUUCUUUUAGAA
This 66-nucleotide transfer RNA is filed under the name Changeondelphax velitchkovskyi. RNAcentral describes it as "tRNA-Leu". The record is from RNAcentral. Lineage: Eukaryota; Metazoa; Arthropoda; Insecta; Hemiptera; Delphacidae.